GACGAACGCUGGCGGCGUGCUUAACACAUGCAAGUCGAGCGGUAAGGCCCUUUCGGGGGUACACGAGCGGCGAACGGGUGAGUAACACGUGGGUGACCUGCCCUCAGCUCUGGGAUAAGCCUGGGAAACCGGGUCUAAUACCGGAUAUGACUCCAUGACGCAUGUUGUGGGGUGGAAAGCCUUGUGCGGCUGAGGAUGGGCCCGCGGCCUAUCGGCUUGUUGGUGGGGUGAUGGCCACCAAGGCGACGACGGGUAGCCGGCCUGAGAGGGCGACCGGCCACACUGGGACUGAGACACGGCCCAGACUCCUACGGGAGGCAGCAGUGGGGAAUCUUGCGCAAUGGGCGAAAGCCUGACGCAGCGACGCCGCGUGAGGGAUGACGGCCUCGGUUGUAA
This 396-nucleotide ribosomal RNA is filed under the name uncultured bacterium. RNAcentral's name for it is "bacterial SSU rRNA". It matches the Rfam family "Bacterial small subunit ribosomal RNA", at positions 28 to 428 of the family's 1533-position model. The record is from RNAcentral.